Molecule: ribosomal RNA, 1577 nt
Filed under: Stereocaulon dactylophyllum
Lineage: Eukaryota; Fungi; Ascomycota; Lecanoromycetes; Lecanorales; Stereocaulaceae
Description: SSU rRNA
Rfam family: Bacterial small subunit ribosomal RNA
Source: RNAcentral
AAAUAAGAAUGAAUUGAGUUUGAUGAUGGCUCUGAAUGAACACUAUUCAAAUGCUUGACACAUGCUAAUCGAACGACUUUGCCCUUAUGGUGUAUAGUAGUGGUGUACAGGUGAGUAUAAGAUAACACGAUUGCCUUGGAGUAAGGAGAAAGAUCCCUAAUAUUAACAAAGAAACUUAUGUUUCGCUCUUAGAAACGUUUAUCUCGUGUAUUGUAGUAGUUAAAGUAAAAGUCUAACUAGCUUUAUAUACGUAGUCGAAACUGAGAGGUUGAUCGAUCACAGUGGGUCUGAACAAAGCCCAUGAUGGAAAUUACAGCAGUGAGGAAUAUUGGUCAAUAGCCUAACGGCUGAACCAGCAACUUGGAAGAAUGUAAAGCAACAGCUGAUUGCACCAACUAAUAGUUGAUGCAAGAUUGACUAUGUCAAAUAAAAUUCUGGGUAGAACUAUGAUAAUGACAUAAUCUACCCAAGUCUUGACCAAUUUGCGUGCCAGCAGUCGCGGUAAUACGUAUAAGGCUAGUGUUAUUCAUAUUUAUUGGGUUUAAAGGGUACUUAGACGGUAGAUCAAGCCUUGCCAGGUACUAAUUUACUAGAGUUACUUACGAGGGGGUAUUAAAGUACUGCAGGUUUAGAGAUGAAAUUCUAUCAUACCUCUUUUCAAUAGAAAAAUUAUGGCACAGGUAUAGGUGAAAACAUCCCCUUAUGUGAUAACUGACGUUGAAGAACGAAGGCUUUGUGUAGCGAACAGGAUUAGAUACCCUAGUAGUCAAAGCAGAAAAUGAUGAAUGCCAUAGAUUAGAUAAAUAGUUUAUUCUAUAAAUGAAAGUGUAAGCAUUCCACCUCAAGAGUAAUUUGGCAACAUUGGAACUGAAAUCAUUAGACCGUUUCUGAAACCAGUAGUGAAGUAUGUCGUUUAAUUUGAUAAUCCGCAAAAAACCUUACCAUACGAAUAUGAAUAUUUAUAUAUAUCUUUUUUUUUCGUAAAAACAUGAAAUAAGAUAAUAUAUUUACAAGCGUUGCACGGCUGUCUUCAGUUAAUGUCGUGAGACUUUGGUUAGUUCCAUUAAAUUAACGUAAACCCUUAUUUUAUUUUUAUAUAAAGUAGUUCUCCACUAUAUUGGAUAUGAUAACAGGGACUAGGACAAGUCAUCAUGGCCUGAAUAUCGUGGGCUACGGACGUGCCACAUAAACCUUACAAAAGGGUGUGAAAUUGUGAAAUUGAGCUAAUCCCCCAAAAAUGGAUAUAAACUGUUAAUGGAUUGUAGUCUGUAACUCGACUGCGUGAAAUAGUAAUUACUAGUAAUCGUGUAUAAGUACGGCACGGUGAAUCUAAUCUCAGAUAGGUACUAACCACUCGUCAGGCGCGGAAAAUAGUAUAUGCAAUAAGUUUGGCUAGUGUUUAUUUUAUAUUUGGGCGUUUUGGUCCAGAAACUUAGGCAUGCGGUCUUCGUAUGCGUUACUUUGAUUGGUGUUAAGUCGAAAUAUGGUUCGUGUAGCGGAAGUUGCACGGGAUUAAUGAUUAUUAAAAAUGCCCAGUUGCAAAAAAAAAACGUAAAUUUAUAUAAACAAGCAAAAUA